CUACGGGUCGCUGCAGUGGGGAAUCUUAGACAAUGGGCGCAAGCCUGAUCUAGCCAUGCCGCGUGAGUGAUGAAGGCCUUAGGGUCGUAAAGCUCUUUCGCUGGGGAAGAUAAUGACGGUACCCAGUAAAGAAACCCCGGCUAACUCCGUGCCAGCAGCCGCGGUAAUACGGAGGGGGUUAGCGUUGUUCGGAAUUACUGGGCGUAAAGCGCGCGUAGGCGGACUGUUAAGUCGGGGGUGAAAUCCCGGGGCUCAACCCCGGAACGGCCUUCGAUACUGGCAGUCUGGAGUUCGGGGAGGUGAGUGGAAUUCCGAGUGUAGAGGUGAAAUUCGUAGAUAUUCGGAGGAACACCAGUGGCGAAGGCGGCUCACUGGCUCGAUACUGACGCUGAGGUGCGAAAGUGUGGGGAGCAAACAGGAUUAGAUACCCUUGUAGUC
This 438-nucleotide ribosomal RNA is filed under the name uncultured bacterium. RNAcentral describes it as "partial 16S ribosomal RNA". It matches the Rfam family "Bacterial small subunit ribosomal RNA", at positions 339 to 795 of the family's 1533-position model. The record is from RNAcentral.